CCUACGGGUGGCAGCAGUGGGGAAUAUUGCACAAUGGGGGAAACCCUGAUGCAGCGACGCCGCGUGAGUGAAGAAGUAUUUCGGUACGUAAAGCCCUAUCAGCAGGGAAGAAAAUGACGGUACCUGACUAAGAAGCCCCGGCUAACUACGUGCCAGCAGCCGCGGUAAUACGUAGGGGGCAAGCGUUAUCCGGCUUUACUGGGUGUAAAGGGAGCGUAGACGGCAGCGCAAGUCUGGAGUGAAAUCCCAUGGCUUAACCAUGGAACUGCUUUGGAAACUGUGCAGCUAGAGUGCAGGAGAGGUAAGCGGAAUUCCUAGUGUAGCGGUGAAAUGCGUAGAUAUUAGGAGGAACACCAGUGGCGAAGGCGGCUUACUGGACUGUAACUGACGUUGAGGCUCGAAAGCGUGGGGAGCAAACAGGAUUAGAUACCCCGGUAGUC
RNAcentral lists this ribosomal RNA (440 nucleotides) under uncultured bacterium. Its description in RNAcentral is "partial 16S ribosomal RNA". It matches the Rfam family "Bacterial small subunit ribosomal RNA", at positions 338 to 795 of the family's 1533-position model. The record is from RNAcentral.